Molecule: long non-coding RNA, 210 nt
Filed under: Hordeum vulgare
Lineage: Eukaryota; Viridiplantae; Streptophyta; Magnoliopsida; Poales; Poaceae
Description: long non-coding RNA (HVUL_LNC009782)
Source: RNAcentral
GACAACAACAACAACAUAAGCAACAGCAGCAGCAACAACAACAACAACAACAACAAAAACGACGACGAAAAUAGCAAUGACUACGAUGAUGACGACGACAACGAUGAUAACAACGACAAUGACGAGAACAACGACAACAACGACAACAACAAAAACAACGACAACAGCGACAACAACGACAAUAAUGACAACAACAACAACAAGAGCAAC